Python bivittatus (Burmese python) is the source of this 542-nucleotide non-coding RNA. Lineage: Eukaryota; Metazoa; Chordata; Lepidosauria; Squamata; Pythonidae. The record is from RefSeq and is a predicted model, not a curated record.
CGGCGAGCUAGGAGAAUGAAGUGCUGUGUUAUCUCCGCUGGCCUGGUUGUUCUUCUGAUCUUCAUCAUAAUCAUCUCAGUUUCCAUCAAGAAAUAAACUCACCAGAUUCACAGAUGCAUCUCAAAACAGGUGAGGAACGUGUGCCAGAAGGUGGAAGAUAUCCAGGGAAGAAAUUUCAAACUUGAUCAGGUUUCUGAGCUGUCGUGUGGGAAAAUAUUUUCUGGCACCCCUCUUUGGACAUAUAUGGUUACCUGUUCGAGAAUGCACCCAUAAUAACCGCCCAAUUUUUCAGACAGCAAAUAAAGUAAUAUUCAGCAAGGGAAACAUGGAACACUGUCAUUUUUAUAGCUAAUAUCCCUCAGUUUACAGUAGCCUGGAGAUGCAUUUAUGAAAUCACACUCAGAAUUAUUUUACCCUAUAAAACCCAGUUUGCACUGAUGGGAACUAAACAUUCCAUGUCUGACAAUUGGUUUUAAAAUCAUCAAAUUCUCAUCUCCGUCACCUCAACCCUACCUUACUUCAGUAAAUGAUUGUUAACUCCA